UGCAAGUCGAGCGAGAAAGUAUCUUCGGAUAUGAGUAGAGCGGCGGACGGGUGAGUAACGCGUAGGAAUCUACCUAGUAGAAGGGGAUAGCCCGGGGAAACUCGGAUUAAUACCGUAUACCUCCUAAGGGAGAAAGAGGGCCUCUCUUGAAGCUCUCGCUACUAGAUGAGCCUGCGUAAGAUUAGCUUGUUGGUAAGGUAAUGGCUUACCAAGGCUACGAUCUUUAGCUGGUCUGAGAGGACGAUCAGCCACAUUGGGACUGAGACACGGCCCAGACUCCUACGGGAGGCAGCAGUGGGGAAUAUUGGACAAUGGGCGCAAGCCUGAUCCAGCCAUACCGCGUGUGUGAAGAAGGCCUUCGGGUUGUAAAGCACUUUAAGCAGGGAGAAAAAGCAAUAAGUUAAUACCUUAUUGCCGUGAUGUUACCUGCAGAAUAAGCACCGG
This 444-nucleotide ribosomal RNA is filed under the name uncultured Pseudomonadota bacterium. RNAcentral describes it as "bacterial SSU rRNA". It matches the Rfam family "Bacterial small subunit ribosomal RNA", at positions 56 to 496 of the family's 1533-position model. Lineage: Bacteria; Pseudomonadati; Pseudomonadota. The record is from RNAcentral.